AAGAGAAAACGGACAAUUGCCCUGAGUUUAUCGAAGGGAGGAAAGUCCGGACACCAACUUGAUAUAUCGAUAUUUCGAAAUGUUAAGUGAAAAGCGCACGGGUUAACGACCCGCCGCGGAAUUCAUAACGCGAGAGGUGCGAACAGAGACGCCAAAGUUCGAAAGGACUAAGGCGCCCCAAGUUUGUCAAGGGGCGAAUUUCAUGGCAACAUGAAAGUGAAACGGCUAAAUCCUUGCUGGGUGCAAGUCCGUAUGGACGCUAGAUCCCGAGAGCAAUCUUGGGACCAGAGAGAUAAUUGUCGCUCCGCUUUGGCGGGGUACAGAAUCCGGCUUAUAGUUUUCUCAUUAAG
RNAcentral lists this RNase P RNA (350 nucleotides) under Candidatus Azambacteria bacterium RIFCSPLOWO2_02_FULL_42_10. RNAcentral describes it as "RNase P RNA component class A". It matches the Rfam family "Bacterial RNase P class A". Rfam says of the family: Ribonuclease P (RNase P) is a ubiquitous endoribonuclease, found in archaea, bacteria and eukarya as well as chloroplasts and mitochondria. Its best characterised activity is the generation of mature 5'-ends of tRNAs by cleaving the 5'-leader elements of precursor-tRNAs. The record is from RNAcentral. Lineage: Bacteria; Candidatus Azamiibacteriota. RNAcentral also lists the same sequence under 6 other names.